RNAcentral lists this ribosomal RNA (2474 nucleotides) under Staphylococcus aureus 56824-21. RNAcentral describes it as "bacterial LSU rRNA". It matches the Rfam family "Bacterial large subunit ribosomal RNA", at positions 3 to 2475 of the family's 2925-position model. Lineage: Bacteria; Bacillati; Bacillota; Bacilli; Caryophanales; Staphylococcaceae. The record is from RNAcentral.
UUAAGUUAUUAAGGGCGCACGGUGGAUGCCUUGGCACUAGAAGCCGAUGAAGGACGUUACUAACGACGAUAUGCUUUGGGGAGCUGUAAGUAAGCUUUGAUCCAGAGAUUUCCGAAUGGGGAAACCCAGCAUGAGUUAUGUCAUGUUAUCGAUAUGUGAAUACAUAGCAUAUCAGAAGGCACACCCGGAGAACUGAAACAUCUUAGUACCCGGAGGAAGAGAAAGAAAAUUCGAUUCCCUUAGUAGCGGCGAGCGAAACGGGAAGAGCCCAAACCAACAAGCUUGCUUGUUGGGGUUGUAGGACACUCUAUACGGAGUUACAAAGGACGACAUUAGACGAAUCAUCUGGAAAGAUGAAUCAAAGAAGGUAAUAAUCCUGUAGUCGAAAAUGUUGUCUCUCUUGAGUGGAUCCUGAGUACGACGGAGCACGUGAAAUUCCGUUGGAAUCUGGGAGGACCAUCUCCUAAGGCUAAAUACUCUCUAGUGACCGAUAGUGAACCAGUACCGUGAGGGAAAGGUGAAAAGCACCCCGGAAGGGGAGUGAAAUAGAACCUGAAACCGUGUGCUUACAAGUAGUCAGAGCCCGUUAAUGGGUGAUGGCGUGCCUUUUGUAGAAUGAACCGGCGAGUUACGAUUUGAUGCAAGGUUAAGCAGUAAAUGUGGAGCCGUAGCGAAAGCGAGUCUGAAUAGGGCGUUUAGUAUUUGGUCGUAGACCCGAAACCAGGUGAUCUACCCUUGGUCAGGUUGAAGUUCAGGUAACACUGAAUGGAGGACCGAACCGACUUACGUUGAAAAGUGAGCGGAUGAACUGAGGGUAGCGGAGAAAUUCCAAUCGAACCUGGAGAUAGCUGGUUCUCUCCGAAAUAGCUUUAGGGCUAGCCUCAAGUGAUGAUUAUUGGAGGUAGAGCACUGUUUGGACGAGGGGCCCCUCUCGGGUUACCGAAUUCAGACAAACUCCGAAUGCCAAUUAAUUUAACUUGGGAGUCAGAACAUGGGUGAUAAGGUCCGUGUUCGAAAGGGAAACAGCCCAGACCACCAGCUAAGGUCCCAAAAUAUAUGUUAAGUGGAAAAGGAUGUGGCGUUGCCCAGACAACUAGGAUGUUGGCUUAGAAGCAGCCAUCAUUUAAAGAGUGCGUAAUAGCUCACUAGUCGAGUGACACUGCGCCGAAAAUGUACCGGGGCUAAACAUAUUACCGAAGCUGUGGAUUGUCCUUUGGACAAUGGUAGGAGAGCGUUCUAAGGGCGUUGAAGCAUGAUCGUAAGGACAUGUGGAGCGCUUAGAAGUGAGAAUGCCGGUGUGAGUAGCGAAAGACGGGUGAGAAUCCCGUCCACCGAUUGACUAAGGUUUCCAGAGGAAGGCUCGUCCGCUCUGGGUUAGUCGGGUCCUAAGCUGAGGCCGACAGGCGUAGGCGAUGGAUAACAGGUUGAUAUUCCUGUACCACCUAUAAUCGUUUUAAUCGAUGGGGGGACGCAGUAGGAUAGGCGAAGCGUGCGAUUGGAUUGCACGUCUAAGCAGUAAGGCUGAGUAUUAGGCAAAUCCGGUACUCAUUAAGGCUGAGCUGUGAUGGGGAGAAGACAUUGUGUCUUCGAGUCGUUGAUUUCACACUGCCGAGAAAAGCCUCUAGAUAGAAAAUAGGUGCCCGUACCGCAAACCGACACAGGUAGUCAAGAUGAGAAUUCUAAGGUGAGCGAGCGAACUCUCGUUAAGGAACUCGGCAAAAUGACCCCGUAACUUCGGGAGAAGGGGUGCUCUUUAGGGUUAACGCCCAGAAGAGCCGCAGUGAAUAGGCCCAAGCGACUGUUUAUCAAAAACACAGGUCUCUGCUAAACCGUAAGGUGAUGUAUAGGGGCUGACGCCUGCCCGGUGCUGGAAGGUUAAGAGGAGUGGUUAGCUUCUGCGAAGCUACGAAUCGAAGCCCCAGUAAACGGCGGCCGUAACUAUAACGGUCCUAAGGUAGCGAAAUUCCUUGUCGGGUAAGUUCCGACCCGCACGAAAGGCGUAACGAUUUGGGCACUGUCUCAACGAGAGACUCGGUGAAAUCAUAGUACCUGUGAAGAUGCAGGUUACCCGCGACAGGACGGAAAGACCCCGUGGAGCUUUACUGUAGCCUGAUAUUGAAAUUCGGCACAGCUUGUACAGGAUAGGUAGGAGCCUUUGAAACGUGAGCGCUAGCUUACGUGGAGGCGCUGGUGGGAUACUACCCUAGCUGUGUUGGCUUUCUAACCCGCACCACUUAUCGUGGUGGGAGACAGUGUCAGGCGGGCAGUUUGACUGGGGCGGUCGCCUCCUAAAAGGUAACGGAGGCGCUCAAAGGUUCCCUCAGAAUGGUUGGAAAUCAUUCAUAGAGUGUAAAGGCAUAAGGGAGCUUGACUGCGAGGCCUACAAGUCGAGCAGGGUCGAAAGACGGACUUAGUGAUCCGGUGGUUCCGCAUGGAAGGGCCAUCGCUCAACGGAUAAAAGCUACCCCGGGGAU